GCCCGACCUGAAACAAGUGUGCGCUGCCCGCUUUAGAUCACCGCUCAGCCUCCUCCAGCCCCGUUAGAACCCGCAGAGGCAUCAGACCGUGCCUGGAAUGGUUUAAAGCAGAACAAUGCCAACAUAAAAAACUUCCUUUAGGUCACCCACACGCAUUCGUUUCACUGACAAAUAACCUCCAAGAAAAGAUCUGUUUGUGAAGUCUGUUUUGGUUUUGGUUUGGUUUGUUUGAAAUGAAAUCUUAGCCUUUUGUUUUGGCAGCCCCUGCCUGAGUACCGGAACCAUCACAGGAGGUGAGGAAACAAAUCCUGGGCUGGUCUUGGACUUUUCAGGGGCAGAAGCCAGAUCUUCAAAUUCACUACUAACAAUUAUCUUUGUACAGAGCACGCCCCUUUGUGCAUAUAUAGGUAUGUGAUGGCUGGAAAAAUAAACGAGGAAGUAGAAACAGCAUUUUACAGUGAUACAGUGAUGGACAGAGAUGAUAGGAAAUUCAUUUAUAAAAAUUAUGGUUAAGAUAGCGAAAAAGAAAAGCGCCAGCUAGUGAGCGGAUCACUUUUCUUUCCUCCUCCCCCUCCGUAUAUAAAUGCAGCCCACUGUCAAGAGUGGGAUUGGUGUGAGUUCAUUUGUUGCGAGUUGUAGAAACUGAACUCUGGCUAUUUUAACUCCUAAGGAUAUUCAUUGGACGGCAAUGAGGAAACUCACGGCGUGAAUGAAAGGCUGAAGAAACUGACUGCCAGGACAGCAUGGGCCAUGCCAUUCUGGGCGUCUCUACAGCGGGAACGACUUGGGAGACUGAGUCAGGGCACUGAUGAGAGAUUGCACCCUCUCCCAGAGCCCCCCUCCCCUUCAGCCCUUCGCUCAUCUCCUUAUUCUGCUCAGGGGGCAAAGUUCCAGUGACAAGCCAGGGAACAUUUGAAAAUGAACAGAAGUGCUGUUGAUAAUUACACCAGGACAAGAGACGCAAACCGGGACCAUCUUAGGUAAAUUGGGGUGUCUGGUCAUCCUCAUUCCAGCACACGCUUCUACUUUCCUGUGCUUGAUGAAAACCUAUUCUCUUCUCUAAGACUUAACAAUUCGAAGCAAACUGGAAGCUCUUGAAGGCUAGAAAUAGUACCUUCUCUGUUGAUGCAUGAGAUACUCAGCCUCUCAUGUCAUGCUUGGCACAUGGCAGGUGCCCCCUGGACCUUCGCUGUGGAAUUAUAAUUGAGUAAAAUGACUAAAGUCUUUAUCCUUCCUCCUCACAUAUGCUCCCAUGCUUAAACUUUCUAUGCAUUUAGGGGGUGCACUUGCUCCCACUGUUUGCAUCGGGGAGGUACAGCUAACCCCUCUUCCUUUUGCUUAACAUCAUUCUUUCCUUCUGACAAUGGCACCAGUGUGUCCCCCUCGCCAGUGAACAGAGGGUAAGGUCCCAAAUGAAAUGAGCCUAGGCCAUGUCUACUUAUGGAAGAUGCUAUUUGCUCAGUGAAAAAAUGCUUUGGGGGUGAAAUGGAAAGUCAGAUUUUUUAA
This 1506-nucleotide long non-coding RNA is filed under the name Sus scrofa (pig). RNAcentral's name for it is "lncRNA (ENSSSCG00035019031.1)". Lineage: Eukaryota; Metazoa; Chordata; Mammalia; Artiodactyla; Suidae. The record is from RNAcentral.